GAUGAAGAACGCAGCGAAAUGCGAUAAGCAAUGUGAAUUGCAGAAUUCAGUGAAUCAUCGAAUCUUUGAACGCACAUUGCGCCCCCUGGUAUUCCGGGGGGCAUGCCUGUUCGAGCGUCAUUUCACCACUCAAGCCUCGCUUGGUAUUGGGCAACGCGGUCCGCCGCGUGCCUCAAAUCGUCCGGCUGGGUCUUCUGUCCCCUAAGCGUUGUGGAAACUAUUCGCUAAAGGGUGUUCGGGAGGCUACGCCGUAAAACAACCCCAUUUCUAAGGUUGACCUCGGAUCAGGUAGGGAUACCCGCUGAACUUAAGCAUAUCAAUAAGCGGAGGA
RNAcentral lists this unclassified non-coding RNA (331 nucleotides) under soil metagenome. Its description in RNAcentral is "partial contains 5.8S ribosomal RNA, internal transcribed spacer 2, and large subunit ribosomal RNA". The stretch from base 1 to 120 matches the Rfam family "5.8S ribosomal RNA", at positions 35 to 154 of the family's 154-position model. The record is from RNAcentral.